RNAcentral lists this ribosomal RNA (460 nucleotides) under uncultured bacterium. Its description in RNAcentral is "partial 16S ribosomal RNA". It matches the Rfam family "Bacterial small subunit ribosomal RNA", at positions 338 to 795 of the family's 1533-position model. The record is from RNAcentral.
CCUACGGGUGGCAGCAGUGAGGAAUAUUGGUCAAUGGUCGGGAUACUGAACCAGCCAAGCCGCGUGCGGGAGGAAGGUACAGCGUAUCGUAAACCUCUUUUGUCAGGGAACAAAGACUGUUCCGCGUCCCCUUUUGAGUGUACCUUACGAAUAAGCAUCGGCUAACUCCGUGCCAGCAGCCGCGGUAAUACGGAGGAUCCGAGCGUUAUCCGGAUUUAUUGGGUUUAAAGGGUGCGCAGGUUGUUUUAUAAGUUAGCGGUGAAACCCCGAUGCUCAACAUCGGGGCUGCCGCUAAUACUGUAGGACUAGAGAGCGGAUGCAGCAGGCGGAAUGUGCAGUGUAGCGGUGAAAUGCAUAGAUAUUACACAGAACACCGAUUGCGAAGGCAGCUUGCUAGGCCGGAUCUGACACUGAUGCACGAAAGCGUGGGGAUCGAACAGGAUUAGAUACCCGUGUAGUC